AUUGAACGCUGGCGGCAGGCCUAACACAUGCAAGUCGAGCGCCCGGCGGACGGGUGAGUAAUGUAUGGCGGCUGCCCGUGAGAGGGGGAUAACUCCUGGCAACGGUAGCUCAUACCGCAUCCUAUCGGAUAAUCUAUAUGGGAUUAGCUAGUAGGUGAGGUAACGGCCCACCUAGGCGCCGAUCCCUAGCUGGUCUGAGAGGAUGAUCAGCCACACUGGGACUGAGACACGGCCCAGACUCCUACGGAGGCAGCAGUGGGGAAUAUUGGACAAUGGGCGCAAGCCUGAUACAGCCAUGCGGCGUGUAUGAAGAAGGCCCUAGGGUUGUAAAGUACUUUCAGUCGGGAGGCGUUACCGACAGAAGAAGCACCGGCUAACUCCGUGCCAGCAGCCGCGGUAAUAC
This 403-nucleotide ribosomal RNA is filed under the name uncultured bacterium. RNAcentral describes it as "partial 16S ribosomal RNA". It matches the Rfam family "Bacterial small subunit ribosomal RNA", at positions 30 to 526 of the family's 1533-position model. The record is from RNAcentral.